This 301-nucleotide ribosomal RNA is filed under the name uncultured bacterium. RNAcentral describes it as "partial 16S ribosomal RNA". It matches the Rfam family "Bacterial small subunit ribosomal RNA", at positions 509 to 809 of the family's 1533-position model. The record is from RNAcentral.
CAGCAGCCGCGGUAAUACAGAGGGUGCAAGCGUUAAUCGGAAUUACUGGGCGUAAAGCGCGCGUAGGUGGUUCGCCAAGUUGGAUGUGAAAUCCCCGGGCUCAACCUGGGAACUGCAUCCAAAACUGGCGAGCUAGAGUAUGGUAGAGGGUGGUGGAAUUUCCUGUGUAGCGGUGAAAUGCGUAGAUAUAGGAAGGAACAUCAGUGGCGAAGGCGACCACCUGGACUGAUACUGACACUGAGGUGCGAAAGCGUGGGGAGCAAACAGGAUUAGAUACCCCGGUAGUCCCUGUCUCUUAUAU